RNAcentral lists this long non-coding RNA (1008 nucleotides) under Papio anubis (olive baboon). RNAcentral describes it as "lncRNA (ENSPANG00000039894.1)". Lineage: Eukaryota; Metazoa; Chordata; Mammalia; Primates; Cercopithecidae. The record is from RNAcentral.
ACAAGGCUGGGACCCCAGCCCCACAUUGUGCCAGGGAAGCAGUUGGUGCUUUAUCAGCUGUGAAGGUUGAUAGUGUGCUUUCUAUAUAAUGAAGUUUCCGUUACAAAGCUUGGAUUCCAACUUCAGCACCCCACCAUUGAAGACUUCAAACAGCAAGUGGAUAUAGUCAAGUUGAAGAUUUUUCUCUGAAAUUGUUUAAGUAGCAAGAAAACUGGCCGUCUAAAUCACAAAAUCAGCAAAACAAAAAGUGUCAUUGAAAUAGCCCAAUGAUUGAAUUGUUACUGCUUACUGGAGCUGGGAGUACAGUUUGGAAAGACACUUCUAUAAAAGACGAAGUUGGUUGUACUUCCCAUGAAACCAUUACUUGAAGACACACGUUUGCAUAAUAGCAAUGAGACAAAAAUUUUCAUAUCUAAUGCCCUUGUCUUCAAAUUUUUCAUCUUCUGGUAAGUGAAAAUACAUUGUACUAUUUAAAGUACUGUGUCCAUCUAAUAUAACCAAGCCUUCAAACCUACAUAGAAUCCUUGAUAGGAAUUUAGUAUUCAAAAUUCUAUUACUUCCUUUUACUGUUGCUAUGGUCAACUCAUGAGACAUUAGCAGUUUGCCUGGAAUAAGACAAAGUACAAGUUAUAAAUUAAUAAAGAAAGCAUAUGUAGUAAUAGAGGCAUUGGUGAUAUCUGAUCAUGAGUAACUCCUAAUUAUGUUAUUGAUAUAGUAAUAAUUUAUAUAAUUAAUUACAAUAAUUUAUUGCUGUAUUAAUGAGAUAGUAAAAUAAAAUAUUUAUUCACCUUUCACCCUGUUUCAAAAUAAGAAUUUAAAGCAAUAUGUGAAGAGCCAUACAACAAAAUAUAGAAGAACUUUUAAAAGUUGAAUGAAUUGAGGCAAAGAAAAAAAUAAGAUAUAGAAAAAAAUCAUUAAAUCUGUAGGGAAAUUUGGUACACAAAAUGCAAGAUAAAUUUGCUACCCUAGUAGAGAUGCGUCACACAUUGGCUUUAAGCUUCCAAGUAG